AGAAUCAACGCUGGCGGCGUGCCUCAGACAUGCAAGUCGAACGCGAAAGUCCCCUUCGGGGGACAAGUAGAGUGGCGCACGGGUGAGUAACACGUAGGUAAUCUACCUUUGGAUGGGGAAUAACAACCGGAAACGGUUGCUAAUACCGCAUGAUGCAGCGGCACCUAAUGGUGACAGUUGUUAAAGCGGGGGAUCGGAAGACCUCGCGUCUGAAGAGGAGCCUGCGGCGGGUUAGCGUAGUUGGUAAGGUAUGGCUUACCAAGCUACGAUCC
Molecule: ribosomal RNA, 272 nt
Filed under: uncultured soil bacterium
Lineage: Bacteria
Description: partial 16S ribosomal RNA
Rfam family: Bacterial small subunit ribosomal RNA
Source: RNAcentral